RNAcentral lists this long non-coding RNA (1057 nucleotides) under Canis lupus familiaris (dog). Its description in RNAcentral is "lncRNA (ENSCAFG00845023162.1)". The record is from RNAcentral. Lineage: Eukaryota; Metazoa; Chordata; Mammalia; Carnivora; Canidae.
CGGGCGGCGCCAAUGAGCGGGAGGCGGCCGUGCCCCUCGCCCCGGCUCCCGGUCCACGUCUCCCACGGUGACGGCGCCGACCAAAGAGUCUCCACUAAUCAGGCCCGGGCGCCGCAGCGAUCGCCAGCACGUGCAUCACGCCUUUUAAUCUAGUACAAGUUUCUGCAAAAAUGACUGAAGGGGAAACCGCUUUCUGUUGUAUUUUGUUGGAGGCAGCUUUGUACCGACUCCGCCUGAAGAACCACCUUACUGCAUCUGCCACUCUCACCCAGCAUGUGUGAGCUCUCCUCUGUGGUCCCCUCACUAUGCCCUUUGAGAGCACCACAUCUGGCUAGUCUUAAAAGGGAGAAAAAAAAAAAAAAAAAUCUGUGCCAGGGCCCUUCUUUCAACAAGAUCAUACAUUAAACAAAUGCCCCCUGUUUCUUUCUGUUUAGCUUCACUCCUACCACAGGUGCUACCAACAAUUGCUCUGGGUUGUCCUGCUUUGGAAUUUUCUUUCCACUGUGGUUGGUAGUGCUGGAUGCGCUUUACACCUUAGGCUUCUCAGAUGUUGUGAUAUGUUGUGUCUUUAAAAAAAAAAAAAAAAAAAAGGUAUUUCUAUUUUUUUUUCCCCUAAGCUGUUAACCUGAUAAAAUAUUUCGCAAUGGUUCUAACCACUUUCUAGCUAAAGAAACAUUUUAGUGCUGUGAAGACCGCUGUCAGGGAUCCUGAGUUGUUACCAUUUACUCUACAGCCCUAAAUUCAGUUGGUUAGGAUUUUCAUUUGGCGAAAACGGGCAAAAUGAGCUCUUUGCUACUAGUCAGGUGAUGGAACGUCGUUCAGGAAGUAAUUUUGUUUCUUGCCAAUAUUUCUAUGCCAAUAAUUAAAGAGUAGUUCCUUGUCUUUACAUCGUGUUUAUCUACAAUAGUGCUGACCUCUCCAUAUCUCCUCUACUCGUGGUAACAGGAGCUACAUUUGCUAACGCUGCAAAAGGGAAACAUUUAUUAGGUCCCCUUCUUAAAUAAAUUCAAAAGUGUAUAAACUGUGUAUAGGUUUUUCAGCACGUAGGAAAACAGUG